ACCCGCUGAACUUAAGCAUAUCAAUAAGCGGAGGAAAAGAAACUAACAAGGAUUCCCCUAGUAACUGCGAGUGAAGAGGGAAAAGCUCAAAUUUAAAAUCUGGCAGCUUCGCUGUCCGA
Molecule: ribosomal RNA, 119 nt
Filed under: Marasmius nigrodiscus
Lineage: Eukaryota; Fungi; Basidiomycota; Agaricomycetes; Agaricales; Marasmiaceae
Description: partial 28S ribosomal RNA
Rfam family: Eukaryotic large subunit ribosomal RNA
Source: RNAcentral